RNAcentral lists this ribosomal RNA (256 nucleotides) under uncultured bacterium. RNAcentral describes it as "partial 16S ribosomal RNA". It matches the Rfam family "Bacterial small subunit ribosomal RNA", at positions 524 to 776 of the family's 1533-position model. The record is from RNAcentral.
UACGGAGGAUGCAAGCGUUAUCCGGAAUGAUUGGGCGUAAAGCGUCCGCAGGUGGCUGUGUAAGUCUGCUGUCAAAGAGCGAAGCUACAACUUCGUAAAGGCAGUGGAAACUACACGGCUAGAGUGCGUUCGGGGCAGAGGGAAUUCCUGGUGUAGCGGUGAAAUGCGUAGAGAUCAGGAAGAACACCGGUGGCGAAGGCGACUCGUGCUAGGCCGCAACUGACACUGAGGGACGAAAGCUAGGGGAGCGAAUGGG